ACGAAGGGUGCAAGCGUUACUCGGAAUUACUGGGCGUAAAGCGUGCGUAGGUGGUUUGUUAAGUCUGCUGUGAAAGCCCCGGGCUCAACCUGGGAAUGGCAGUGGAUACUGGCAAGCUAGAGUGCGGUAGAGGGGUGUGGAAUUCCCGGUGUAGCGGUGAAAUGCGUAGAGAUCGGGAGGAACACCAGUGGCGAAGGCGGCUACCUGGACGGGUACUGACGCUGAAGCGCGAAAGCUAGGGGAGCAAACAGGA
RNAcentral lists this ribosomal RNA (253 nucleotides) under uncultured prokaryote. RNAcentral describes it as "partial 16S ribosomal RNA". It matches the Rfam family "Bacterial small subunit ribosomal RNA", at positions 525 to 777 of the family's 1533-position model. The record is from RNAcentral.